GCCCUAAUAGUAUAAUCUAUUACUUUGGUCUUGUAAACCAAAAAUGAAGACACCCAAUCUUCUUAGAGCA
Molecule: transfer RNA, 70 nt
Filed under: Sundasciurus everetti (Bornean mountain ground squirrel)
Lineage: Eukaryota; Metazoa; Chordata; Mammalia; Rodentia; Sciuridae
Description: Dremomys everetti tRNA-Thr
Source: RNAcentral